This 246-nucleotide long non-coding RNA is filed under the name Elaeis guineensis (African oil palm). RNAcentral's name for it is "long non-coding RNA (EGUI_LNC050800)". The record is from RNAcentral. Lineage: Eukaryota; Viridiplantae; Streptophyta; Magnoliopsida; Arecales; Arecaceae.
UUCUCUAAGUCAUGUGGGCUCACCUAACAGUUAUUGCCCACACUACUUAGUUAAGCCUGACCCAUCGUUUACAAGCAGAUGCAAGGUCGUCAUUGGGUCCCUCACCUAACAGUUAUUGGGUCCAACCCUAUCCUUAUCCUAAAGCAACUCUUUGCUAAUAGAGUGGUUGCAUGUUCCCGAUACAAGUGAACUACUGUGACCAGUCGAGAACAAUCAACAUCGGUAGCAUACCCGCAUAUCUACAAC